This 407-nucleotide ribosomal RNA is filed under the name uncultured bacterium. Its description in RNAcentral is "bacterial SSU rRNA". It matches the Rfam family "Bacterial small subunit ribosomal RNA", at positions 355 to 776 of the family's 1533-position model. The record is from RNAcentral.
UUGGGAAUAUUGGACAAUGGAGGAAACUCUGAUCCAGUGACGCCGCGUGAAGGAAGAAGGUCUUCGGAUUGUAAACUUAUUUUGUCAGGGAAGAAACAAAUGACUGUACCUGAAGAAAAAGCACCGGCUAACUACGUGCCAGCAGCCGCGGUAAUACGUAGGGUGCAAGCGUUAUCCGGAUUUACUGGGUGUAAAGGGCGAGUAGACGGCGAUGCAAGUCAGAUGUGAAAUGCUAGGGCUUAACCUUAGAACUGCAUCUGAAACUGCAUUGCUAGAGUGCAGGAGAGGUAAGCGGAAUUCCUAGUGUAGCGGUGAAAUGCGUAGAUAUUAGGAGGAACAUCAGUGGCGAAGGCGGCUUACUGGACUGUAACUGACGUUGAGGCGCGAAAGCGUGGGGAGCAAACAGG